GAUGAACGCUGGCGGCGUGCCUAAUACAUGCAAGUCGAGCGAACAGACGAGGAGCUUGCUCCUCUGACGUUAGCGGCGGACGGGUGAGUAACACGUGGAUAACCUACCUAUAAGACUGGGAUAACUUCGGGAAACCGGAGCUAAUACCGGAUAAUAUAUUGAACCGCAUGGUUCAAUAGUGAAAGACGGUUUUGCUGUCACUUAUAGAUGGAUCCGCGCCGCAUUAGCUAGUUGGUAAGGUAACGGCUUACCAAGGCAACGAUGCGUAGCCGACCUGAGAGGGUGAUCGACCACACUGGAACUGAGACACGGUCCAGACUCCUACGGGAGGCAGCAGUAGGGAAUCUUCCGCAAUGGGUGAAAGCCUGACGGAGCAACGCCGCGUGAGUGAUGAAGGUCUUCGGAUCGUAAAACUCUGUUAUUAGGGAAGAACAAAUGUGUAAGUAACUAUGCACGUCUUGACGGUACCUAAUCAGAAAGCCACGGCUAACUACGUG
RNAcentral lists this ribosomal RNA (497 nucleotides) under uncultured bacterium. Its description in RNAcentral is "partial 16S ribosomal RNA". It matches the Rfam family "Bacterial small subunit ribosomal RNA", at positions 28 to 507 of the family's 1533-position model. The record is from RNAcentral.